ACGUAGGGGGCGAGCGUUAUCCGGAAUUAUUGGGCGUAAAGAGUACGUAGGCGGUUUUUUAAGCGAGGGGUAUAAGGCAGCGGCUUAACUGCUGUUGGCCCCUCGAACUGGAGGACUUGAGUGUCGGAGAGGAAAGCGGAAUUCCUAGUGUAGCGGUGAAAUGCGUAGAGAUUAGGAGGAACACCAGUGGCGAAGGCGGCUUUCUGGACGACAACUGACGCUGAGGUACGAAAGCGUGGGGAGCAAACAG
Molecule: ribosomal RNA, 250 nt
Filed under: uncultured bacterium
Lineage: Bacteria
Description: partial 16S ribosomal RNA
Rfam family: Bacterial small subunit ribosomal RNA
Source: RNAcentral